AAGUUACUUUCAAUGUUUUAAAAAUCUGUUUUAGUCUUUUGUGGCAGGCGAAAACCAAUCAAUCAGCAUAUUUCCGAGUGACCCAUUGUGUUCUCAGAGUUCUUUAAUAAGUCGAACCAAUUUCGAGACGGGUUCGAGAGUAAUUUAGAAAUGAGUGCGGAGAAACAAUCUGGUGACGAUGUGCCGAAGCUGCCCGGACCAUCAAUUGACGAUGACGAAAAUUGCUCGAUUUGUCUUAUGGACAAAAUUGAGCCGGUGACGAUGAAGUGCGGACACAGUUUUUGUUUUGAGUGCCUCAGCCGAGUUUUUCAGCAGCCUGUUUCCCGUUGGAGUAGCCCUCGGAAAUGCCCACUGUGCCGCAGCGCGAUCUCAAUGGACGAUGCUACCGUCAAGAUCUCCAAACCAAACUAAAGAACACGUAUACUGUAUAUGUACAUAUGUAUUGGCUUCCAAAAUAGAUGUGUAGUAUAUACGGUAUGCCCAUGGGCUACUCCCAAUUGUG
This 502-nucleotide small RNA is filed under the name Drosophila pseudoobscura pseudoobscura. RNAcentral's name for it is "GA25665". The record is from RNAcentral. Lineage: Eukaryota; Metazoa; Arthropoda; Insecta; Diptera; Drosophilidae.